GACAGAGGGUGCAAACGUUGUUCGGAAUUACUGGGCGUAAAGCGCGUGUAGGCGGCUAUGCAAGUCGGAUGUGAAAGCCCUCGGCUCAACCGGGGAAGUGCACCCGAAACUGCAAAGCUAGAGUCUCGGAGAGGAUCGUGGAAUUCUCGGUGUAGAGGUGAAAUUCGUAGAUAUCGAGAGGAACACCGGUGGCGAAGGCGGCCUUCUGGACAGUGACUGACGCUGAGACGCGAAAGCGUGGGGAUCAAACAGG
This 253-nucleotide ribosomal RNA is filed under the name uncultured bacterium. Its description in RNAcentral is "partial 16S ribosomal RNA". It matches the Rfam family "Bacterial small subunit ribosomal RNA", at positions 524 to 776 of the family's 1533-position model. The record is from RNAcentral.